UAUGACCCCAAAAUAUUAAAUUUUAAUCAUAUAAAUGUAAAUAAGCACAUACAUUGAAGUGAGAUACUGAAACACAAAAUAUCUUUCUGUGUUUUCCUUCAAUUUUCUUUAAGAUGAAAUGACAUCCUACAUGUAGCUACAACACAAUCUUUAUAGUAUUGUAUGUCAUGGACUUGAAGUAAUUGACAGUUAUUAUUAAAUUACAAUAGGUAGUAGAUGCUUAUCUGGCCUUCCUUGUUCAGGCUGAAAUAGAAAAGGGGAACAAAAUUACAAUGUAUCCUUCCCAAACCAUGACUGCCAUUGUGGAUGGCUCUUUUACCCUUAAAGGAUGCAAAAAGAAGAUUGUGGAACCACAGACUGGAAUAAUCUAUUUCUACAAUCCAUUGGUGGAAAGAAGAUCACAGAUUCUUGCUGUUAAAAGAAAUUGGUGUUCCUAUAUGAAUCAAAGGAUGUUAGCUUACAAUGAGGUCAGUCAGAUGCAGUGGCAGGUGGAAACUAAAAUACACUCUAAACAGACAGAUGGUUACAACUGUGGAGUGCAUUGUUUACUGAGUGAUAUCUCAGUGGACAACCAAUUAUAAACAUCACAGCGGCAGACCUUAUAGCUACGAGACAGAAAUAUGCAACAGAUUUGAUGAUGUUUGAAAUAUACCUAACAGAACAUUGUCCAGGAUGUGGUUUUGCAGUAUUAAGAAAAAAUGAGAUCAAAUGUUAAGUUUGCAAAAGAUCGUUUCAUAGGAAAACCCACUGUGUAGGAGAGGACACAGUUGACAAAGACUGUUUUGUUUGCAGACUUUGUGAAAUUAAAUUUUGGGGCUGUGAUUGCUGAUGUGUUAUUACCUUGAGCAAGUUUUCUGAUCAGGUUUAAGUAUGAUCUGAAUAAUGAGCUAUUGGAAAAAUGUGUGCUACAAGAAAUAUGUUUACAUCUACUACGGUGUAUAUUUUAAACACAGAGGUUCUAUAUGAAUCCUCUGGUGUAGAACAGCAUGGCAAAAGAGGCGUUGUUUCGUAUCAACAUCUCAUAUAAAGUUCCCAUAAAGAGAUUAUGGACCUGAUAUGCUUGCCUCGUAAUACAAUCUGUAAGAUAAUGUUAAAACUUAUUGAUAUUUCUUAUGGAUAAUAAUCAUAUAUUUUGCAAGUACUUGUAAACAUGUAUCCUGAGAUUUGAUUGUAAACAAUAGUACACAUAUGGAUGUUACUGAAGUUGAACUGAUGAUGAUGAUUAAAUCAUUGAUAAAGAAUGUGCACCAUUUGAUGUCAAAAUGAUCGACUAUUCAAUAUUAAAAUUUCUUUUAAACAUACUUCUUUAUUGCAAGUGUAAAAGAAUGCUGGCGUUUGGUAUAUGUAAUGGUAGAUAAGGCUUCUAAACUGCAUAAAAUGCUGCAAUCAUUAUGGACCUUUCUGUAUACAAGUAUAGGUUGUUGAAACAUUCUGAAUGAUGGAACAUGUUUUAAUGUUUAUGGAAAGUUAGCAUACCUUCUAUUGAG
Long non-coding RNA from Ostrea edulis (European flat oyster), 1487 nucleotides. RefSeq lists it as uncharacterized. Lineage: Eukaryota; Metazoa; Mollusca; Bivalvia; Ostreida; Ostreidae. The record is from RefSeq and is a predicted model, not a curated record. The transcript is spliced from 7 exons.